CUUCUGACUAUCUCCCAACGUUCUCAAAAUUUUCUAAGCAUUCAAUCAAGUGUCCCUCAAGUUUUUGCACCAGCAAGAAAGAAAAUGAGAUUUGCAGUCCAACCAAAUUUCUUUCCUUUUCUUUUCGGUUGAGCUGUGAUGGAGUGGAGGGUGCUGAUCCAAGUGGGGCUUACUCCUAUGUCUAUACAGUACUCUCGAAGGUUCAUGUCUUCAUACAUGGAACCGCGUUCAAUUGUUUCCGUUGUGCUAUUUAAACAAGUUAAAUCUUGUUUUCCCCUAUGACUCUGAAAGUUAAUAAACAGUAUUGUAUGAACCUUUUACUCGAAUCUUUAUGAUUGAGUGUAUCCUAUUCAAGUAUUCCAUUUGAGAUACUUCGUAAUCA
Salvia splendens (bonfire salvia) is the source of this 382-nucleotide long non-coding RNA. RefSeq lists it as uncharacterized. The transcript has 2 exons. Lineage: Eukaryota; Viridiplantae; Streptophyta; Magnoliopsida; Lamiales; Lamiaceae. The record is from RefSeq and is a predicted model, not a curated record.